RNAcentral lists this ribosomal RNA (253 nucleotides) under uncultured bacterium. Its description in RNAcentral is "partial 16S ribosomal RNA". It matches the Rfam family "Bacterial small subunit ribosomal RNA", at positions 524 to 776 of the family's 1533-position model. The record is from RNAcentral.
UACGUAGGGGGCAAGCGUUGUCCGGAAUCAUUGGGCGUAAAGCGCGCGUAGGCGGCCCUGUAAGUCCGUUGUGAAAGUCAAAGGCUCAACCUUUGAAAGCCGAUGGAUACUGCAGGACUAGAGUACGGAAGAGGCGAGUGGAAUUCCUGGUGUAGCGGUGGAAUGCGCAGAUAUCAGGAGGAACACCAAUAGCGAAGGCAGCUCGCUGGGACGUUACUGACACUGAGGCGCGAAAGCGUGGGGAGCGAACAGG